This 253-nucleotide ribosomal RNA is filed under the name uncultured bacterium. RNAcentral's name for it is "partial 16S ribosomal RNA". It matches the Rfam family "Bacterial small subunit ribosomal RNA", at positions 524 to 776 of the family's 1533-position model. The record is from RNAcentral.
GACGGAGGGGGCUAGCGUUGUUCGGAAUUACUGGGCGUAAAGAGCGCGUAGGCGGUUUGGUAAGUUGGAAGUGAAAGCCCGGGGCUUAACCUCGGAAUUGCUUUCAAAACUGCUAAUCUUGAGUGUAGUAGGGGAUGAUGGAAUUCCUAGUGUAGAGGUGAAAUUCUUAGAUAUUAGGAGGAACACCGGUGGCGAAGGCGGUCAUCUGGGCUACAACUGACGCUGAUGCGCGAAAGCGUGGGGAGCAAACAGG